GCCCGGCUAGCUCAGUCUGUAGAGCAUGAGACUCUUAAUCUCAGAGUUGAGGGUUCGAGCCCCACGUUGGGCG
This 73-nucleotide transfer RNA is filed under the name Xenopus laevis (African clawed frog). It matches the Rfam family "tRNA". Rfam says of the family: Transfer RNA (tRNA) molecules are approximately 80 nucleotides in length. Their secondary structure includes four short double-helical elements and three loops (D, anti-codon, and T loops). Lineage: Eukaryota; Metazoa; Chordata; Amphibia; Anura; Pipidae. The record is from Rfam by way of RNAcentral.